Molecule: non-coding RNA, 74 nt
Organism: Ameiurus melas (black bullhead)
Lineage: Eukaryota; Metazoa; Chordata; Actinopteri; Siluriformes; Ictaluridae
Source: the annotation of a GenBank genome assembly
GCAAUGGUAGCCCAGUGGUUAAGGCAUUGGGUUAUAGAUCAGAUGGUCAUGAGUUUAAAUCCCACCAAUCUACA